UACGGGGGGGGCAAGCGUUGUUCGGAAUUACUGGGCGUAAAGGGCUCGUAGGCGGCCAACUAAGUCAGACGUGAAAUCCCUCGGCUUAACCGGGGAACUGCAUCUGAUACUGGAUGGCUUGAGUUCGGGAGAGGGAUGCGGAAUUCCAGGUGUAGCGGUGAAAUGCGCAGAUAUCGGGAGGAACACCAAUGGCGAAGGCAGCUUGCUGGGACGGUACUGACGCUGAGGCGCGAAAGCGUGGGGAGCAAACAGG
This 253-nucleotide ribosomal RNA is filed under the name uncultured bacterium. RNAcentral describes it as "partial 16S ribosomal RNA". It matches the Rfam family "Bacterial small subunit ribosomal RNA", at positions 524 to 776 of the family's 1533-position model. The record is from RNAcentral.